GGGUCGUUAGCUCAAUUGGUAGAGCAGCUGCCUCUUAAGCAGCGGGUUCUCCGGUUCGAUUCCCCGGCGACCCA
RNAcentral lists this transfer RNA (74 nucleotides) under Kibdelosporangium aridum. RNAcentral's name for it is "tRNA-Lys". It matches the Rfam family "tRNA". Rfam says of the family: Transfer RNA (tRNA) molecules are approximately 80 nucleotides in length. The record is from RNAcentral. Lineage: Bacteria; Bacillati; Actinomycetota; Actinomycetes; Pseudonocardiales; Pseudonocardiaceae.